RNAcentral lists this ribosomal RNA (253 nucleotides) under uncultured bacterium. RNAcentral describes it as "partial 16S ribosomal RNA". It matches the Rfam family "Bacterial small subunit ribosomal RNA", at positions 524 to 776 of the family's 1533-position model. The record is from RNAcentral.
UACGUGAGGGGCGAACGUUGUUCGGUGUCACUGGGCUUAAAGAGUGCGUAGGUGGUUGCGUAAGUAACGUGUGAAAUCCCUCGGCUUACCCGGGGAACUGCGCGUUAUACUGCGUGACUUGAGGAUUUCAGGGGAAUGGGGAACUCCAGGUGUAGCGGUGAAAUGCGCAGAUAUCUGGGGGAAGGCCGGCGGCGAAGGCGCCAUUCUGGGAAAUUCCUGACACUGAGGCACGAAAGCGUGGGGAGCAAACAGG